Molecule: long non-coding RNA, 1789 nt
Organism: Phasianus colchicus (ring-necked pheasant)
Lineage: Eukaryota; Metazoa; Chordata; Aves; Galliformes; Phasianidae
Source: RefSeq, a predicted model, not a curated record
UCCUACACCAGCACCGGGCGAUGGGAAGGGGAUGCAGGAACCCACCUCGGGGCGAGGUGGGGGGGUUAAGGAGGUUAGAGCAGGGCCUAGGGCUGGGGGGGGAGGUGAGAUGGAGAAGUCAGGGAAGGGGGGAGCAGCCGGGAAAGGUGAGAGACAGAGAAGCCCUGAAGCAAAACCUUUGUCCCGCAGGCAAAACUCCACCAAACGCCGCUGGAAGGGGAGCAAAGCAAAAUGAGCUGCUGUUUUCUGUGCAGUGGAUGGAUCCUAGAAAACACAGGGCCGUCUGGAGUGGAGAAUUAUGGCCAGAGAACCAACUCCUGGGACUGAUUUGGGUUGAACCAGCAGAUCCCCCAGGUUGAACCCCUCUGCCGGGCUGAAUUUAGCAGCAGGAGAGAUAACCAGGAGAUAAGGGCUGAUACCCGGCAGGACAGCAGGAGAGCGACCGAGGGAAGGGGGAGAAGCUGGAGGCCGAGUCCUGCAGUGCUUCAGGAGCGGCCGCCUGCCCAAUUGUGCCUGGCUUGGAUUCCCGUCUAUCUCUCUUCUCCAUACAAGAUUUCCCGGAUUUCCCCUACCGGAGAAGCCCUGUGUUGAAUUUCUAGCGCACAUCACCUCUUUCUUUAAUUUUAUUUAAAGAAAAAAGAGAAGGAUUUUGAUGGAAAACGGUUACAGCUCUGCGAGCAGCACCGCCAGGAGCAGAGAUCUCAAGGAGCGCCUUUGGCUUUGCCUUUCCAAAUGACAAAAAAAAACAGAGCCAAAAAAAAAGCAGAACCCGGACCCACGUCCCUGUGCGGGCAAAGCCCCGCAGCGCCGAGCAUCGAAAACGCUGCGGGGGCAAAGGAGCGGACGGGAGGGGAGGUUGGGGGAAGCUGAGCUCUUGUCGUACCCUCCCCAAACAUUUAUAUAUCUUAAUCAUUAUAAUUAAAAACGAAAGCAGAAGUUGGGGAUGCGGCGGAGCGCGGGGAAAAUCGCUCAAUCAAUUAACGAAGAAAUCGAUAAAUAAAGAAGUAAAAUCUCGAAGUGAAUCGCUGUGAUUUCGGGGAGCGACCUCCCGAAAAGAAAUCACGGCGCUGCAAACGAAACGGAGCCGGACGGCGCUCCGGGCAACGAACCGCGUCCUUCCCACGCUGCUCCUCACCCGGGGGGCGAUCAGCGGCCGCUGCGGGGCCGUUUUCUCCCGCAUGGGAACGGUGGAUGCGAACAGCGAGAGAGAUCGGGGCUGGGGACGGAGGGAGAACUCAUUUCCAAGUUGCUCCGCGGGACAGAGCUGAGAAUUGUUUAAAAAUCGCGCACACAAACACGCAAAUAAAAUGUUUAGGGAGGAAAUGAAGCAGGAGGGAAAUGUUUCAGCGAGGGGAAAAGAAUAAUUGGGUGAACGCAGCCGGCGGAUGAACGGGUAAAUAGAUGGAUGGGUAAAUGCGCCAAAAGUGCAGGGGUAUUUUUAAAGGAUUUCUGUUGUUAUUUCGAGUCGGGAGGAUCUGUGUGCCCUGCGAGGGCGGUCGGAGGGGUCUGCACCGGGGCUGGGUACGGUUCUGCUGCAUAGAGCCGGGACAACCUGAGCCCGGCUGUAGGGACGAGCCCCGGAUCGUGGCAUUAUCUAUAUGUACCCUCUGGUAUAGAUCUAUAAAUCUACGGAUCGAUGGGUUUGUGGAUCUGUAGGUCUAUGGAUCUAUAGGUUUACAGAGCUAUAGGGUUAUAGAUCUAUAGGGUUAUAGGGUUGUAGAGCUGUAGGGUUAUAUGUCCGUAUGUUCGUAGAGCUGUAGGUUUCUAGUUUAUAGGGCCGGGGAGCGGC